GAAAUGGGGAGCAAGCCCCUUCCUCCCCCAGAGAGCAGGGUGUCCGCGCCGCGCGGGGCGCCUGGCGCCGGUUCCCGUCCGGCUCCGCCUCCCAUUCUCGGGCGAGCCCGCUCUCUCCGGGCCCCAGUUUCUCCGGCUGUGCCUGGGGUAGAGGCUGCAGGCGGCGGCGCUGAGCGAGGAAGGAAGGUCAACUGGAUUCCCCUUCUCUGGCUCCUGCAACCGGAAUCCCCGCCCGAGGGAGGGCCGGAGACCCGGAGAAACAGAGACCGAGAGACGGACUCCGGGCCGCCCACGUCCAAGGGGAGAGCGGGUGUCGGGCCGCGCGCGGCACCUCCUCCACCGCCCGCUCCCACCGUCGGAGGCGGGGCGAGGCUCCCAGGCCAGCCGCCCUCAAUCUGCCUUUCCUGGGUCGGGGUUCGCGGGAAGCGAGGAGUGGGCCGGAGGGCCUGGGCGCCCCCGGGCUCCCCGCCCGCGCAGGGUCGCCUCGUCGCCAGCGGGCGCUGGAGGAAGGCGAGCGAGCGGGCGUCGCCCGGACCGGGAGGGGGCGCUCGAGAGAAGCAGUGAACGCCCAGCCCCGACCCCUGGAGCCUCCCGGCCGUCGGCCCGCCCACCCCAGCUGACGCCCUGUCUCAGGACCCCAAUCCACCCGGUCCCCGUUUCAGGCUCAGCGCAGCGGCAGUGCAGGUCAAGGAGGGCGGUUCGGGUCUGGGGGCAGGCCCGGGUCCCUCUCCGCUCCCCACUCUGGCCUCACCGGGAGGACAGAUUCCCCCAACCUCCAGGAUCUGUCCCCGCGCUUGUCCCGGCGCGGCGCUCAGCGUAGGCGGAGCACAUCACAGGUCUCAAGGGCUGAUGGCAACGCCGGCGGCUCUUGGGGUCCUAUAGACGCUGGGAAGGGCGCCGUGCACCUGUGCUCUGCACACCUACUCGCCCGUGCUUUCUGGGUGUGAUUCUCUUAUUAUGGCAUUUUAAAAACUCUGAAAUCUGAUUAUUUACAUUAGAGAGAAAUGUCCAGAAACUUUGUGCAGUCAACCAAUCUUUAGGGGCUGGGGAUUUAGUGUUGGAGCAAAGGUUGAAAAUCCCUGCCUCAGGGCCUUCGUUCUAGCGGGGUAGGGGUGGGAUGUUUUCUCCAGCCGGACCUCCCUCUUCCCUCGCUGUCAAUCCACCCCCCGGGCCCGUCCACUCCUCCCCUGGGGUCAUUUACUUAGGACCCUCCGCCCAGCAGCCCACCAAGGGCAGAGGGACUCCGUUCUGGACCUGCCUCUCACAGAGGAUCAGCACGCGAGGACAAAGUAUAGGACCAAGGAACACCAAAGCCCAGAGAGGGGCAGGGCUUCCCAACGGCACACAGCAAAGGCUGGGAGCGGCCGGGACACACAGCUCCUGCCUCCAGUUCUGUCCGUCUCCUGUGGAGAAGGGCGCAUGGUGGAGGGCAGAAGGGAGGAGGAAAAGCAGAAUCGGAGGCUGAAGGCAAAGAUCGGCCCCAAGACUGGACUCUGUGGGCUCAGAUACAGGCCUCCAGGCCUGUCCUUAAAGAUACGCCCCGUCCCCAGCCGCAGCUCCACCAUCAGAGCUUUAAGCCUCAAGGGCCUUGAGCACUUCCUGAGAGCCCUAUUAGGAGUGAGCGAACCCCAGGAGCCGUGAGGCCCUUGUCAGCUAACAUCUUGGUUGAAAGGCAGCACCUUGGGUGACAGCUAUCACCCUCUAACAAGUAGGGAGAGAAAAUUCUGCCCAAGUGGAAAGGAGGUGGGAUGGCCUUUGGGAGGAUGGGGUGGUGGGAGGGGCGCGUGCCCGCCCACGCUUCCCUGACACAAGGGUGCCUGGGUGUUGAGAGGGUGCGGUUGCAGCCACAGUGACCGCCCCAGCAUUGCCCCUGUCCUGGUCCGGGUACUGUCCAAUGAAGAAGUGUAUGUAUAUUGGGGGAGGGGUCCCUUCUCAGAACUUAGCUGAAUGGGGUACUUGCCUGCCUAAACACUGCCCCCCAGAGCUCCCCCUUGUCACCAGGAACCCAUCAUCAGGGACCAGUCCCUUAGCCGGGUACUCCCAGCCUUGCCUCAUAUCUGCCAACCUCUUUUCCCAUUCUCACCUCUUUUCUCACCCACAUCAUCAGGUCUCCCACGCUGCAGCCACCUUGCCCAGAUCAGGCCUCUGCUGAUCCUGAUGUGAUGCCGCCUCCCUGGUCCUCCUCCUUGGAAACUUGUGCAAAGAGCUAUGGCCAUUCCAUGGCUAGAAGAUGGAGGCACCAAGAUUUGGACGCAGUAUGCAUUUUGACACUGACACUUCUCUGUCUGGCCUGAUUCCCCUUUUUUUUUUUAAUUUAAAUUUUACUGAAGUAUAGUUGAUUUACAAUGUUGUGUUAAUUUCUUCUGUAUAGCAAAGUGACCCAGAUAUAUACAUAUAUAUAAAUUCUUUUUCAUAUUCUUUUCCAUCAUGGUCUGUCACAGAAUAUUGAAUAUAUAAUAGUUCCGUGUGCUAUACAGUAGGACCUUGUCGUUUAUCCAUCCUGUAUAUACUAGCUUGCCUCUGCUAAUCCCAAACUCUCAUUCCCUCCCUCCCCCCCUCCUUGGCAGCCACAAGUCUGUUCUCUAUAUCUGUGAGUCUAUUUUUG
RNA transcript from Balaenoptera ricei (Rice's whale), 2605 nucleotides. It is a transcript of the gene named LBH domain containing 2, with no coding region annotated. The transcript has 2 exons. NCBI's taxonomy places the organism in Eukaryota, Metazoa, Chordata, Mammalia, Artiodactyla, Balaenopteridae. The record is from RefSeq and is a predicted model, not a curated record.